This 250-nucleotide ribosomal RNA is filed under the name uncultured bacterium. Its description in RNAcentral is "partial 16S ribosomal RNA". It matches the Rfam family "Bacterial small subunit ribosomal RNA", at positions 524 to 773 of the family's 1533-position model. The record is from RNAcentral.
GACGAGGGAUCCUAGCGUUGUUCGGAAUCAUUGGGCGUAAAGCGGAUGUAGGUGGCUCCAUAAGUCAGGUGUGAAAUCCCAGGGCUCAACCCUGGACGUGCAUUUGAUACUGUGGAGCUUGAGUGCUAGAGAGGCUAUUGGAAUUCCUGGUGUAGUGGUGAAAUACGUAGAUAUCAGGAGGAACAUCAGAGGCGAAGGCGGAUAGCUGGCUAGACACUGACACUCAGAUCCGAAAGCGUGGGGAUCAAAC